GCCCGGCCCUAUCGAAGCUGCGCCUGCCCUGCGCUGUGGCAGCCGCAGUCAAAAAGGCGCCGAGAGCCACGCGUUUUCCUCGACGGUCGCUGCACAGUUUGGUUUUCUGUAACUGCCCAGCAACAAAUCGGGAAAGUACAGGG
Molecule: small nucleolar RNA, 143 nt
Organism: Chrysolophus pictus (golden pheasant)
Lineage: Eukaryota; Metazoa; Chordata; Aves; Galliformes; Phasianidae
Source: Ensembl